Molecule: long non-coding RNA, 837 nt
Organism: Olea europaea var. sylvestris
Lineage: Eukaryota; Viridiplantae; Streptophyta; Magnoliopsida; Lamiales; Oleaceae
Exons: 2
Source: RefSeq, a predicted model, not a curated record
AAAAAAGGAACGGGUAUUCAGACACACCACAGGCAGCCCCUUAAUCUUCUCUGAAAAUUGCCCAAAUAAAAACAAAACCCUUCCCAACCUCUUCAUUCCCAUCACCACCUUCCCUCACUGACGACGGCGGGCUCGCAAUCGGAAUUAGCUCCUUCUCCGGCCCAGCGACGAAGUCAACGAAGAAGAAAAAGUGUGACUCGUGCUGGAUGUUGUGGACAUCGGAGAAGUUCAAACCUUGCUCUGAUCUUUGACCGCUGAGAAGCAACCACCACGCCCAAUUGAAGAAGACACCAGUUUCCGUCUAUACAAACGAGCAUGAGAGGAAGGAAUGUCGGAAUAUGUCACAGUUGUCGAAGCAAAUGGCACUCAUUCUGGGAAUGCACGAGAAAACGUCGUUGCCUGUGGUGUCCACACGGAUUUCAGAAAUGCUUCGAGGUAGAAAAACAGACACGUAACAAAGGGCGAUUAUUCAACACUUGCAGUAACAAUUGUGGAUAUUUCGAUUGGGUGGAUGAAGGAGAAUCAAGUGAACAAUGUAGUGAUGUCAACGAAGUGAUAACUGUUGUAGGGAAUGAGGAAGUUCAAGGCUUACGGAAUGAAGAAGUUCGAGACUUGCCUAGCAUGCUCGAAACUCUAGCCCGAAUAACUGAGACACGAGACGUCGAGGUGUCACUACUACAAGUGACAUUCCGCAAGGGAAAAUGAUGCUUGGAAUCAGAUGGCAAACCAAAAGGACCGGCUUGAUUAUUAGUAUUUUAGUCAACGGAUUGUUUGGGUUAUAUAUGUAAUUUAAAGACUUGAGUAGCGCUACUAUAUAUUUUGUAUGCCAUUAGAAUU